CCAUAUGAUAGAAGUCCCACUUUCGAGUCCCCUCCCCUGUUCGGCUGUGCCUGUCCUGAUUUUCUUGUCCAUUUCGAAUGGCUGAGGUAGAGAGGAACCCUAGAUCUAGAUCUGGAGCAGACCCUUCUUUUUUGGAUCAAUCUCCCCUUUUUGCGCGCCUGCGAGUCUCUUCUGCAUUCGACGACUUCGGCAUGGUUCGUCCCUUCUCCUAAGGAAAGAAGCCGUGAGGACCUCGCAAGGAUGGUAAAUCUACAAGAGAUGCCAUUUACAAUAGUUGAACACCAAACUUUUUAGAUGUUUGUUAGGAACCUUAGAUCAGAAUUUCAUAUUAUUUCAAGGACAACCAGAGCCGUGGAGGAUAAAGAUGCGAAGCAUUGUUUCUGCUGAGUGGGUGAUCUUUUAGCUGUGGUCGAAUAGAUUUUCAGCAAAUUUUGUAUAGGUAGUUCUGCCUUGCAAUAGCAUUCAAGGCAUUUUUGUUCUUUGUAGGUCGCUUUAUAUUGAGGAAACUAUGGUUCAUUAUGCAUGUUCUUAGUUAUGUAAUUCUAAAAUUCACUGAACAUGAUGCUAAUGCUAUGAUGCAUCCUUUUGGAUUGUCA
Molecule: non-coding RNA, 596 nt
Organism: Phoenix dactylifera (date palm)
Lineage: Eukaryota; Viridiplantae; Streptophyta; Magnoliopsida; Arecales; Arecaceae
Source: RefSeq, a predicted model, not a curated record